Molecule: long non-coding RNA, 586 nt
Organism: Vidua macroura (Pin-tailed whydah)
Lineage: Eukaryota; Metazoa; Chordata; Aves; Passeriformes; Viduidae
Exons: 3
Source: RefSeq, a predicted model, not a curated record
GACAACUUGGCUCCUGCAUUUUUUCAUACAUCCCGGGGUGCAGAUAAUUCCCUAAGCGCAGAUCUGAGCUCACCCCCACCAGAAAUCUCCCUGCAUUGCCGUUAAAAAAUGUAUCACUUUAAAAAACUCAGCUUUGGUGCUCAGAAAAGAGUCCCAGCAAAGGCAUGGACAGAGGAAUAUUCUCAGGCCACAGAUACAGAACCACAGUGGCAAUAAAAUCUCCAGCAAAUGUAAACUGUGAGGAUGGGAAUCUAUGCGGAAAACCUUUCCAUAGGCACCGUCACCUCCUUCUGGUUUCCAUAGAGAUUUAGGUUCCUGCUUCCAGCAGAGAAAAUCCUGAUUGACACCUUGUACUUUCUGAGAGGCUUUUCUCAUGCCAUGGCAAAGUUGCUGUAUUAGCAGCUUUGGACUCUGUGAUCACACCCAGAUUUCAGCAAACCAGUAAAACUGCAGAAAAAUGGCUGAGCUGGGAGGGAAAACAAAACUCUUUGAUUUCUCCUGAUAGUCAAAAUUGCAAGGAAAUAUAGAUUAAGCAUUGACUUCAUGAGCUGUGGGGAGAAUCUUUAAUAAAAGCAAAAAAAAGGUG